CCCUUAGAUGUUCUGGGCCGCACGCGUGCUACACUGAGUGGAUCAGCGGGUCAGGUUGCGCGAAAGCGUUUCCUAAUCUUUAAAUCCGCUCGUGAUGGGGAUUGACGGUUGCAAUUUUCUGUCAUGAACGAGGAAUACCUUGUAAGCGCGGGUCAUCAUCCCGCGCUGAAUACGUCCCUGCCCCUUGUGCACACCGCCCGUCGCUCCUACCGAUUGAGUGGUCCGGUGAGGCUUUGGGAUCUGAGCGGAAAGAGCGUUUCGCUGUUUCUGCUCGGAAAACUCAGUCGAACCUUAUCAUUUAGAGGAAGGAGAAGUCGUAACA
RNAcentral lists this ribosomal RNA (322 nucleotides) under uncultured eukaryote. RNAcentral describes it as "partial 18S ribosomal RNA". It matches the Rfam family "Eukaryotic small subunit ribosomal RNA", at positions 1470 to 1796 of the family's 1831-position model. The record is from RNAcentral.